RNAcentral lists this ribosomal RNA (160 nucleotides) under uncultured bacterium. RNAcentral's name for it is "partial 16S ribosomal RNA". It matches the Rfam family "Bacterial small subunit ribosomal RNA", at positions 355 to 507 of the family's 1533-position model. The record is from RNAcentral.
UGGGGAAUAUUGGACAAUGGGGGCAACCCUGAUCCAGCCAUGCCGCGUGUGUGAAGAAGGCUUUCGGGUUGUAAAGCACUUUCAGUGAGGAGGAAAACCUUAUGGCGAAUACCCAUGAGGCUUGACGUUACUCACAGAAGAAGCACCGGCUAACUCCGUG